GAUGAACGCUGGCGGCGUGCCUAACACAUGCAAGUCGAGCGAACAGACCAGGUGCUUUCUCCUUCGACGUUGUCGGCCGUCGGGUGCUUCCCACGUAGUUAACCUACCUAUACGACUGGGAUACUUUUGCGAAAUCGUAUCUACUACCCGAUAAUAUUUCGACCUGCAUGGUUCGAUCGUUAAAUAUGGCUUUUCUAUCACUAAUAGAUUACCCUGCGCCGUAUUAGUUAGUUGGGAAGGUAACUGCUUACCAACGCAACGAUACGUAGCCGACCUAAGAGGGUGAACGGACACACUGGAACUGAGACACAGUCCAGACUCCGAGGGGAAGAAGCAGUAGAGAAUCUUACGCAAUGGACGAAAGCCUGACGGAGCAAAGCCGCGUGAGUGAUGAAGGUCUUCGGAUCGUAAAACGAUGUUAUUAGGGAAGAACAAACGUGUAAGUAACUGUGAACGUAUUGACGGUACCGAGCCAGAAAGCCACGGCUAACUACGUG
Molecule: ribosomal RNA, 497 nt
Filed under: uncultured bacterium
Lineage: Bacteria
Description: partial 16S ribosomal RNA
Rfam family: Bacterial small subunit ribosomal RNA
Source: RNAcentral